RNAcentral lists this long non-coding RNA (345 nucleotides) under Chrysolophus pictus (golden pheasant). Its description in RNAcentral is "lncRNA (ENSCPIG00010009660.1)". Lineage: Eukaryota; Metazoa; Chordata; Aves; Galliformes; Phasianidae. The record is from RNAcentral.
GGCCGCCGCGCUGGGGCUUGGAAUAGUUCGCUGCUAACGUUCCGCCUGCGGUUUGUUUUGUUCUGUUUUUAUAGACAGCGGCAUUACAUAACCGCGUACGGAGAGCGGCCGCGGUUACGCGAUGCAGAUGAGCGGCGGCGUCGAUUCGGCAGAUCGCCCUGCGCGCGUGUGAGGGCAGCGCGGCCGUGCGCAUUCAGCAGGGAUUACAUGUUUGCUGAGUUACUGAUUCAGAGGCACAGUUCAGCAAAGUGCCGUUUUAGAAGAAUAGCUUCUGCCCAAGAAUUAGAAUUGUUGGAAUAAUAUGCGAACAGGAAGAGUUUGGCCUUCAAUUCAAUUAAACUGCCA